This 470-nucleotide unclassified non-coding RNA is filed under the name Hevea brasiliensis (rubber tree). Lineage: Eukaryota; Viridiplantae; Streptophyta; Magnoliopsida; Malpighiales; Euphorbiaceae. The record is from RNAcentral.
AUAAAUUUUAAUCAAUUUGAAGAUGGUUUCGAUUUUAAUAAUAUUAAUUAGGUUUAGGUUGGAUAGUUAUAUUUUUAUUAGUGCUUUAAGCGUUACUAUCCUUAAUGGAUAAAUUAUUUGCAUCUUCCUAUGUGGUUAAAAUUUACACGAAUUGAAAAAUAUUUCUCCCAAUACAUAGAAAAAUGAAUUUUUUUAUUUUAUUUUUCACUCAAUUUUAAUAAAAUAUCUAAGUUUUUAAUUGUUAUCAGUGGUGUAAGGAAUACUCUAAUCCCCGUGUAUAUACAAAGGAGACACUUCAUGAACUCUGUGACUCUUUUUCUGCCACCUAGCACAGCAUACUAUCCACCAUGAAACUGGGUAUCAUGUUAGCCAUGGUCACUUUUCUUGCACGCAAAGAUUUGGAGGAAUGAGUUGAAGCAAAAUUCGAAAACAAGAAGCUAGCGAUGUGAUUCAACGCUAAUCACUCUACG